GACGAACGCUGGCGGCGUGCCUAAUACAUGCAAGUCGAACGCUUCUUUCCUCCCGAGUGCUUGCACUCAAUUGGAAAGAGGAGUGGCGGACGGGUGAGUAACACGUGGGUAACCUACCCAUCAGAGGGGGAUAACACUUGGAAACAGGUGCUAAUACCGCAUAACAGUUUAUGCCGCAUGGCAUAAGAGUGAAAGGCGCUUUCGGGUGUCGCUGAUGGAUGGACCCGCGGUGCAUUAGCUAGUUGGUGAGGUAACGGCUCACCAAGGCCACGAUGCAUAGCCGACCUGAGAGGGUGAUCGGCCACACUGGGACUGAGACACGGCCCAGACUCCUACGGGAGGCAGCAGUAGGGAAUCUUCGGCAAUGGACGAAAGUCUGACCGAGCAACGCCGCGUGAGUGAAGAAGGUUUUCGGAUCGUAAAACUCCGUUGUUAGAGAAGAACAAGGACGUUAGUAACUGAACGUCCCCUGACGGUAUCUAACCAGAAAGCCACGGCUAACUACGUGCCAGCAGCCGCGGUAAUACGUAGGUGGCAAGCGUUGUCCGGAUUUAUUGGGCGUAAAGCGAGCGCAGGCGGUUUCUUAAGUCUGAUGUGAAAGCCCCCGGCUCAACCGGGGAGGGUCAUUGGAAACUGGGAGACUUGAGUGCAGAAGAGGAGAGUGGAAUUCCAUGUGUAGCGGUGAAAUGCGUAGAUAUAUGGAGGAACACCAGUGGCGAAGGCGGCUCUCUGGUCUGUAACUGACGCUGAGGCUCGAAAGCGUGGGGAGCAAACAGG
This 777-nucleotide ribosomal RNA is filed under the name uncultured Lactobacillales bacterium. RNAcentral's name for it is "bacterial SSU rRNA". It matches the Rfam family "Bacterial small subunit ribosomal RNA", at positions 28 to 776 of the family's 1533-position model. The record is from RNAcentral. Lineage: Bacteria; Bacillati; Bacillota; Bacilli; Lactobacillales.